UGUGUUGUGGCUCAGUGGUAGAGUGCUUGUCUAGCAUGAGUGAGGCACUGGGUUCAAUUCUCAGCACUGCAU
RNAcentral lists this transfer RNA (72 nucleotides) under Ictidomys tridecemlineatus (thirteen-lined ground squirrel). RNAcentral's name for it is "Spermophilus tridecemlineatus (thirteen-lined ground squirrel) tRNA". It matches the Rfam family "tRNA". Rfam says of the family: Transfer RNA (tRNA) molecules are approximately 80 nucleotides in length. The record is from Rfam by way of RNAcentral. Lineage: Eukaryota; Metazoa; Chordata; Mammalia; Rodentia; Sciuridae.